UCACAACCCACUAAUGGUGUGCGACCCACGU
This 31-nucleotide non-coding RNA is filed under the name Macaca fascicularis (crab-eating macaque). RNAcentral also lists the same sequence under 1 other name. Lineage: Eukaryota; Metazoa; Chordata; Mammalia; Primates; Cercopithecidae. The record is from RNAcentral.